Molecule: ribosomal RNA, 471 nt
Filed under: uncultured Lactobacillus sp.
Lineage: Bacteria; Bacillati; Bacillota; Bacilli; Lactobacillales; Lactobacillaceae
Description: bacterial SSU rRNA
Rfam family: Bacterial small subunit ribosomal RNA
Source: RNAcentral
GACGUCGACAGAAGGUGCUUGCACUGGAAGUUGAUUGACGUGAGUGGCGGACGGGUGAGUAACACGUGGGUAACCUGCCCUUAAGCGGGGGAUAACAUUUGGAAACAGAUGCUAAUACCGCAUAAAAGUUGAGAUCACAUGGUCUUAAUUUGAAAGACGGCCUUUGACUGUCACUUAAGGAUGGACCCGCGGCGUAUUAGCUAGUUGGUGAGAUAAUAGCCCACCAAGGCGAUGAUACGUAGCCGACCUGAGAGGGUAAUCGGCCACAUUGGGACUGAGACACGGCCCAAACUCCUACGGGAGGCAGCAGUAGGGAAUCUUCCACAAUGGACGAAAGUCUGAUGGAGCAACGCCGCGUGAGUGAAGAAGGUUUUCGGAUCGUAAAACUCUGUUGUUGGAGAAGAACAGGGACUAGAGUAACUGUUAGUCCUUUGACGGUAUCCAACCAGAAAGCCACGGCUAACUACGUGC